This 1218-nucleotide ribosomal RNA is filed under the name uncultured Rhizaria. RNAcentral's name for it is "SSU rRNA". It matches the Rfam family "Eukaryotic small subunit ribosomal RNA", at positions 577 to 1805 of the family's 1831-position model. The record is from RNAcentral.
CGGUAAUUCCAGCUCCAAUAGCGUAUACUAAAGUUGUUGCAGUUAAAAAGCUCGUAGUUGGAUUUCUGCGGGGACGGAGCGGCCGGUCGCAACUUGCGACUCGAGCUAGCGCUUUCCCCGCAUCCUGCCGCGAACCGUGCUACCAUUAGCUUGGUGGCGCUGGGGAUCGGCUCGAUUACUUUGAGAAAAAUAGAGUGUUCAAAACAGGCCACACGCCUUGAAUAAGUUAGCAUGGAAUAAUGACUAAGGACUUCGGUUCUAUUUUGUUGGUGUUCGGGACUGAAGUAAUGAUUGAUAGGGACAGUUGGGGCGGUCUGUAUUCCAAAGCGAGAGGUGAAAUUCUUAGACCUUCGGAAGACAAACAGCUGCGAAAGCGUUCCGCAAGGAUGUUCCCUUUGAUCAAGAACGAAAGUUGGGGGAUCGAAGACGAUCAGAUACCGUCGUAGUCUCAACUAUAAACUAUACCAGCUAGGGAUCGGUCAACGUUUAAUCAUUCGACUUGAUCGGCACCUUAUGAGAAAUCAAAGCAUCUGGGUUCCGGGGGGAGUAUGGUCGCAAGGCUGAAACUUAAAGGAAUUGACGGAAGGGCACCACCAGCCGUGGAGCCUGUGGCUUAAUUUGACUCAACACGGGAAAACUUACCAGGUCCAGACAUAGUAAGGAUUGACAGAUUGAUAGCUCUUUCUUGAUUCUGUGGGUGGUGGUGCAUGGCCGUUCUUAGUUGGUGGAGUGAUUUGUCUGGUUAAUUCCGUUAACGAACGAGACCCCAGCCUGCUAAAUAGCGCGGCUGAGCUUUGCUCGGUGCGAGCUUCUUAGAGGGACUAUGAUGCGCGAUAGCACAUGGAAGUUUGGGGCAAUAACAGGUCUGUGAUGCCCUUAGAUGUUCUGGGCCGCACACGGGCUACACUGGCGCCUGCAACGAGCAUAUCAGCUGGCCCGAGAGGGUCUUGGCUAAUCUUUUGAACCGGCGCCGUGCUUGGGAUUGACCAUUGCAAUUGUUGGUCAUGCAACGAGGAAUGCCUUGUAAACGCGAGUCAUCAGCUCGCAUUGAAUACGUCCCUGCCCUUUGUACACACCGCCCGUCGCUCCUACCGAUGAAUGUUCCGAUGAAAUUUUCGGAGAGCGCCAGAGAACGGGGCUCCGCCUUGCAGAUCUGGAGGCUCAAAGUCACUUAAAUCUGAACAUUUCGAGGAAGGAGAAGUCGUAACAAGGUAGCCG